AAUCCAUAGGUUAAUGAGGCGAACCGGGGGAACUGAAACAUCUAAGUACCCCGAGGAAAAGAAAUCAACCGAGAUUCCCCCAGUAGCGGCGAGCGAACGGGGAGGAGCCCAGAGCCUGAAUCAGCAUGUGUGUUAGUGGAAGCGUCUGGAAAGGCGCGCGAUACAGGGUGACAGCCCCGUACACAAAAGCGCAUGUGCUGUGAGCUCGAUGAGUAGGGCGGGACACGUGGUAUCCUGUCUGAAUAUGGGGGGACCAUCCUCCAAGGCUAAAUACUCCUGACUGACCGAUAGUGAACCAGUACCGUGAGGGAAAGGCGAAAAGAACCCCGGCGAGGGGAGUGAAAAAGAACCUGAAACCGUGUACGUACAAGCAGUGGGAGCCCCACCACCAAAGCGUUUCGCUUUGUGUGGUGCACAAAGAAGCGUAACGACAGCACUGAAUGACGGUUAACGGAGCGCAAGCGACGUUCAACAUACAAAGUCAAGCAGUGGAGCGCUUUGGGGUGGGGUG
Molecule: ribosomal RNA, 511 nt
Filed under: Salmonella enterica subsp. enterica serovar Weltevreden
Lineage: Bacteria; Pseudomonadati; Pseudomonadota; Gammaproteobacteria; Enterobacterales; Enterobacteriaceae
Description: partial 23S ribosomal RNA
Rfam family: Bacterial large subunit ribosomal RNA (bases 1-366)
Source: RNAcentral